GGAAAUCGGCCGAGCAGAGAGAACAUUAUUAACUGCAAUCCAGAAUCAGAUGACGUUUGGCUUUCCCCUGUAAACCCCGGAGGUGCAGUAACCAAAUCGAGCUGACAUUUGAGGUGUCACCACUUCACUGCAGGCUUAAACAAGCGCACUACUUUGAGAGUGACUACUGUGCAUGUGUGAAGUCAUGCUGCCUCACUGAGGCUGCCGUUCAAGCCAGACUACCUCGAGACAAAUAAAGGAGAGUGUUGUUGUUAUAGCAGUGAGCUGAGCUGUGUCGCCGAUUCCAAACCAACCAGCAGGAAUUGUCCUGUCAACUCUAUUGAACUCCGAAAGUUUCAAAUAAACCAGAAUUGCUGUUUUGAAACAUCUCUUGGCCGGAAUGUACAACAAAUUGCCUUCAUUUCAGCUGUCACACUUGUGCCACAUUGAAAAAAACUAACAAACAACGCUAAACUCAGCACUUGGAUUGAACCUGUGGAGAAUCUUGACCGCUCUUGGCCGACACCUCUCGCCCUUAAAUCACAUUUCAAAUCCAAAUACGAACACUAUAUAAAAAUCCCAACCAUAAAGCUGUUUCACUGCCGUUUUAAAGGCAUGCUCCAAUUUGGUACUAGUCAGGGUAGUUUGGAAUGAUGAUCUUAGAAUUGUGUCCUUUGAAAUGUAUAACUUGACUUUGGUCUUAAUUCGCUAAAUGUUUGCUCGUGUAAAAACUCAUGCAAACUUGAUCAUGCCUGCAGAGAACGUGCAAGCUGAUUUUACCAACAGGCUGCACAGAUGAUUGCGUCUUGUCCGGUUUGAAUGUGCAGAUUGGGUUGUUUUUCCUAAAGGUGUGGAAGGAACACAGGGCUGUGACAAUGCAAACCGAUUCAUUUUGUAUCCGUAGUGCAAUUUGCUUGAAACUAAGCCUGAAAGUCACUUUGUGACUGCUUAUGCAAAUUAGGAUAUCUACAGAGCAUGUACGGUGUCCUUCACUAAUAUUGGCACCCUUGGUAAAUAGGAGCAAAGAAGGCUGU
Molecule: long non-coding RNA, 1013 nt
Organism: Ictalurus punctatus (channel catfish)
Lineage: Eukaryota; Metazoa; Chordata; Actinopteri; Siluriformes; Ictaluridae
Source: Ensembl